Molecule: long non-coding RNA, 18528 nt
Organism: Gallus gallus (chicken)
Lineage: Eukaryota; Metazoa; Chordata; Aves; Galliformes; Phasianidae
Source: Ensembl
GGCGCGGGGCCCAGCGGCCGCCUCUGCAGUUCCCGCCUCUUGAGGCAGUCCCUCACACUGGUGCGCCCGGCUCCUCCUCCUCCUCCUGCACCCCCGACGUUCAGCGAGGAAAAAGGGGAGAGCCCUUCCAACUGUUCGCGGUGGCUGUGGUGUUAAAAUGGCAUCCAUCGAGCAGGGCUAGCUUUGGGCUGACAGGAUCGGGAAUUAACUUAAGCAUUUCUGGCCAUCUCCAUGAUGCUGUAAUCCUUGAGUCCCUCUAGCUACUUACAAAUUGUAUUCUGGAACGGAGCCUGAAAACUGAGGGAUCUUCCACAUUCAGAAACAAAGCAAUGGUUGAAAAAGUGGAACUGACAACAACUAUGAAGCAUAAAUUUCCAUAUCUUCCUUCUUUGACAUGCCUUGAGAGUUCUAAGAUACUUCAAGAGAUACUGUAUGUGGCAAACAGAAGUCUAAGCUACCUGCUAUUUGUUGCUAGUGCUGAUAACUCCAUCUUCUGACUGAAGUCCAGCGUGAGUAACCAAAACUUUCCUACUUAAAAUUUCUCUGCAUUUUCAGUUGGAUUUGUUUGUUACAUUCUGAGUUAAACUAUGCAGUUUAGCAAUUGUCAAAUGGCAAGGACCAACUCUUAAGCUCUGUUUAGGAAGAACUGUCUCUUGGAAAAAGGAGAGAAGGAAUGUUUAUUCCUAUAAAUGUAGUUUAUAGGGCUGUUCCAUAGAGCUCUUCAUAGAGUCCAGUACACAUGUUCACUGCAAUGAGAAGGAAAUACAGUGGGUUGCAGCUAGUUGAAAUUUGUUAUGUGAUCAAUUGCCAUGAGGAAACAACCCUAUUAGACUUAAGGUUUCAUCUCGAUUUGUCUUACAGCAGUUUUACUUUGUCCUGAGCUCCUCAUACGUGAAUAUUGUACUAUUGAGUCCUUACAAAGAAAAGAGGCUUAUUUAUUGCAUCAAAAACAAGUAUGAGAUAAAGGAGAAUGGAUAUUUUUCAAUAUUACAUGAUUUUUUUUUUUCUGUGUCUGACUGGUGUCUUUAUCUAAACAAGGCAGUCAGGAAAGCAAGGUAUGGAAUUAAUAGUAAGUAUCUGUAGGAAGAGGUGUUUCAGCAGUUGGAUCAUUAUUUUCAUAUUUAGGAGACCAGAGUAUAAGUCCAUUCUCUCGUGAGUGUGCCUACAGUGGGCAAGUGGUUUCACCUUUGUGUGCUUCAGCUCCUCAGUUCUGCAUUAAGGCUAAUAACAUUGCCUCAUUAUGGCUUGCUGUACGGGAAUACCAGCCUGAUGUAGUUUGAAGGAGAUGUCCACUAGGUGGGAAUCAUUGCAGCCGUGGCACUUAAUGUGUAUUUCUUAAGGCCCUGGACUGUGGCUCUAGCAAAGGCUGUGACACUUAUUCCACACUCCACUCAAUGAACUUUCACUUAACUGCUCAGAGAGGAUGCAGGGGAGGGAGGAAGUCCCAAGCUGUUGUGGUAGUUCUUUUUUAAGGGACUGGUGAAGAAGUCAGCGUGCAUUUGGAGCAGAGUGGUAAGGUGUUUGUUUUUUUGCUUGUUAUUCCCCCACGUCCUGAAGAUUAUUUGCCUGUGUGUACACAGUGGGAGAAGAUGCCCAACUGCGAUCCAAGCGUGAAUGAAACAGAGCUUGCACAGUUCAAAGCCGACACAGUCUCAAAUUCUUGCUCCUAGGGGAGGAAAAAAAAACAAAAACAACUUCCUUUAUUUUUUCCUUUACUAAUAAAUAAAUAAAUAAAUAUAAAAUCCCUCAUCUUCCUUUUAAAAAAUGAUUACAUUUAAAUCAUAUAAAUCAGUACACUUCCUCCAGGAGAGGAAGAGAGGGAUAUUCCUUUUCCCAAAGCCUGUUUUUAAUCACUGGGUGAAUUUUGAGACAAUCUCUGAACAUUCAGCACUUGUGGUCAGUUUUCCCCACCCAAAAUGCUAGUGGUUUUUGCAGACAUUCCAUAAACACAGGAAGCUUUGACUGUGUCUCUAACAGAUAGAGAGACAGAAAAGCAAAAUACCCACAAUACAAAAGGCUAAGUCUAAACUUGACGUGCCAGCUCAGAACAAUGAUUUAUGUAGUCCAGAAGUCUGUCUCUGAUAGUCAAAGACAGAUGUUUCAAGGAGAAUACUGAAUACUUAUAAAGCACAAUUCUGACAUAACCUGCCUAUGUUCUUUUUUAAUUUUUUAAUUUUUUUUUUUUUUUUAAUAACUGAAUUCUUCCUUGAACCAUGGAGCUUUAUAUUCUGAGUCUGUAUUUUAAAUCUGGUUCUUUGAGGAGGGGAAAGGGGCAACAUGGAAGGCUGCAAAAGUGUGCUGUGCAGGAUUCCCUUGGUGUUUUGGAUUCUUUAUGAUCUCGUGGCCAUUAGGUCCUAAUUUGUAUCUGCUAAGUUUUAGCCUUAAUUAAACCUGCAGAUGUUUCAUGGAUUAAACAUAUUUUAUCUGAGUUUUCUGUUCAUCCAUUUUAGGACUUCCAGCUUCCAGCACCUUACAUAAGUCUGAUUUUCCUUUUAACAUGGGAAUAGCUAAAGAGAAAUUCCUGUCUUUUUUUUUCCCCGCACCACUUAUUGUUUUUCUAUAAUCUAGUCGUUGUUAAUCUCCUUUUUAAAACAGUUUCUUUGUUUUUGCCCACUAAUACAGGUGAAGGCACAGCUUUCACUUUAGAAGAGCAUUUUAAUUUUAUAAUAUUCUUUUCCAUUAGAGUUUUAAUCUUUUUGACCUCAUCAGCUGCAUGAAUAAUGGUUUAGCAGAACUCCUCACCAUUGGCCCAUAUCUUUCUCAUGAGCAGUUAUAUUCAGUUACAAAUAGCUGAAAUUCAGAACAUUCUUUGCAAGGGACAUUACUUCACUCUGAAAAGUAAAGAAUUUUCCUGAUGUUAAUCUACAUUUCUCAUUUCUACCCAUUUAAAAUUACAAGAGAGGACAUGAAAUCUCUAACAAUUUCUGAUGGUUUUUGCGAAUAGCUGCUGAAGUAGCUGAAUCUAAGGGCUUUUAAUCAUACAUUUUGAAUUUAGGAUUCUGAAUCACAAUAAUUUCAUAUUAUCUAAAACCAGUGUUCUUUUGACAAGUUUCCUCAUUUUGAAUAAUCUUCUUUAAAUUCUGUGGUUUAAUAUGAUUUCUCCCUUAACAGUCAAACUGGAAUACAGUGUCCUCAUUGUUAGGCUGUUUGCCUGCAGAAACUCCAUUCCAGAAUUUCUUGUACUGGAGAGGGAAAAAAAGAGUAACAAUCUCGAUCAAAUUGGACCAAAAAAUACUGAUUCUGAUUCCAGCAAAGUGGAAAAAAAAAAUAGUAGCUGGACUUUCACCUUAAUACCGAUAAUCUUAAAAUAGCAAUCAAAACAGGAAGAAUUUAACUGAAACAAAUGUUUUAUUUACAUUUGUUGUAAAACCAUUUUGUAAAAAUGCAUCUGACGGCAAAGACAGGUAUACCCAUGUGCAGAACCUUAGCACAGGAUAGUGCAAUUAAAGUCCUAAACUUCCCUGUCAAAAAUUCCUAUUACAACUCCACCAAGAGAGGACUACUUAAUUUUAGUUUUGAUUUGUUUUAUCGUAACCACUGCAUGCUAAUGAAAGCAGAGUACAUUCUAUUGUACUCUACUGAUAUAACAUCUAAGCUACUGCAUCUCUGUAACCCUCACUGUAUCACACAUAGCUUAAGUUCAGAUAAAAUCAAGGUAUCAUUACCAGGGUCCUGCUGGAUGCAGUUGAAUUCAGUUUGGUCAAGCUGUUCAUUAAAAUUUUAUUCGGUUACUGUUUAAAAUCUGCCUUCAGUGUAUCCCUGCCCUUUCCUGUUCUUGCUUCCUCUUACAAGUUUAGGCUGAAAUCUGGAAAUUCCUACUCUUCUGAGUAACGAACAAGGAUGUAAUUCCUCCCUGCAAGCUCAGCUUCUUUGGAUCUGUUUUGAAAUUAGCCCAGACUCCUGGCCCUUAACAGAUUUUACCAAACUUACUUACAUGUAGCUUUAACACCAGGUGCUCAUUUUUGUUUCUAACCUUACAACAGAUAUAAUAUGUAACUAAAGAAAUAUCUUGUUUUACCAACUGAUGUUGGCUUCAGAAGCUAUGUUGGGCUCUGUUUAUUUAUUUCUGUUUGUUUAUUUUUAUCGUACUGAUCAAGAGCUUGGGGUUCCAUGGCCAAAUGUCACCUGUGUUGGUGUUACAGACAGAUAUUGGUUCCUUUUCUUGAAAAUGACUGGAAGGGAGAUUAUUUAUUUUUAAUCUUGAUGUGAUAAUUAAGCAUAGAUAAUUAACUACAAGAUCUUAACAACUUUAUGACAGUAAGGGACCAGUAGGAAUAACUACUACAACAACAGUCAACAUUUCUAUGCUGUGUUUACAAGAUUAAUAUACAACCACAAAAAUUUGUUGCAGACAGAAACUUGGCAUUAAAAGAGGAAGUCCAGGAUAUUUUUUUUCUUAAACUUGAAUUUAACCUAUUUGGUCAUUUUAAAGUAGGAAAAAGACUUUGCAGUUGUUUUAAGAUAGACAUUCCUGACAUAAUUCUGGUUUCAGAGUAUUUAUGGAAUUAUGGAGGCCACAGGACUCUGCCCCUUACCUUGCCUCCAUUCUGCCUCUCUUCAGCAAACUUUUUUUUUUGCACUUCAUCACAGCCCAUGACAGGGACAAAUAAAAGCAUAAUUGUCUUUAUUCUUCCUCAUUUUCUCUUUUGUUCGAUUAGGCAUUCGCAAAACCUGGUAACUGAUGCCCGUUGACUUUGAUAGCAGAGGGUUUCUUUGAGAACUUCUGGAAAAUUUCACUUUAGUUAUGUAUUCUGUACACAGCGAGUACUUUCUAUGCCUACACGUAAUGUAUAUUAGGCACCCUAUGACAUCCUGAAAGCCAUCCUUUUUCCCUCAGUCAUUUUAACUCUUCCAGCCGAUAGAUUUUCAGCUAUUCCUGGAAUAAGCGGCCUGUUGUGAAGAGAAUAGCAGCAGAAAUUGUUCUAGUCAUAUUUCUACUGGUCUGGGAAAUAAAUCUUUAGCUUCUGCCUGGCCAAUACCUCAUGACUUAAACAAUUUUAACAUGAUAAGGGAACUCAGAGGAAGAGAGAGUAUUUGGAAUAUAAAGAAUUAGGAUAUCAAGAAAAUACUUCUAAGUUAGUGAGAGAGAAAAAAAAAUUAGGAAAUCUUCUUAGUUCUAAAUCAAGAAAACCUUGAAGCGUAACAAAAAGGGUAUUUAGAAAAUGGAGUAGAUGUGCUUUGAAUGGAGAAUCCCCAGAAGGUUUUGUGAGCUGCAAGAUGCUGUGCUGGCAGAGAAGAAACCUCUGUGAGUGACUUUUUCAUUUUUCUUUUUAUCUAAGGUGUCUAACUUUGCUUUAAAAAUAAGCAGUGUAGUUCCAAUACUGCAUAACAUACUUAAAAAACCGUGAGGUUUUUUAAGUUCAAACAAAUGUGGUGUGAAGGAGCAAAGAAUCCACUGUUCUUAGUCAGAGUUUCAUUUCAUACACUACCUGUGAACUUAGGGUAUUAGUUCUUCUGCUAUGGUAUCUAUGAUGCAGGAUGGGAUUCUGUUGCCCUAAGAUCUGAGAAAACAGAUGCACUGAGUGAUGAGCUCUCAUAUUUGAAUCAUAAGAAAGAGCAGUGCUGUAAUCCAUGUUUUACUGAGACCUCACAUGAAUGGGAUUACUUUGCCUCAAAUUGUGUUAGUCAGUCUAGGGCAAAGCUGACCAGUGUGGCCUGGUAGCCUAAGUAGUAACUCAGUGGCUUAAGUUUGUCUUGCUGAUUAAUAGCAUAAAUAAUUUUUUCUACAGAUGAUGAACAGACGCUUAAAAUGAUUUUUGAGUUGUGCUAUUUAUUUAUUGUGCUAUUUAUGUGCUAUUUAUUCUAUUUAAAAUAGAAGACCAUUUUAAAGUUCUGAUGAGUUUGUCCGGGAAAUGUAAUUGCUUUGUUGACUGUAUGAUGUUGGGAUGUCCUUAUGCCCCAGUACACAUGUUCUGUUAGCAAGUAUCAUUUACACAGGCUAGGAAAUCCCUGUGUGUUAUGUAUUCUACAGCCAGGAAGACAGAAAGAAAAUUUCAGGUUAUACAUAUUUGUUCAUUCUUGCAUAGCAUUUGUUCAGUCUUGAAAACAUUUAGACAAAUAUAAUUAAUUUAUUAAAACCUGUAAAUCAUAGAAUCAUAGAACAGUUUGGGUUGAAACGGACCUUAAAGAUCAGCUAGUUCCAACCUUCCUGCCAUAAGCAGGGAUACCUCCCUCUAGACCAGGUUGCUCACAGCCCCAUCCAGCUGGGCCUUGAGUGCUUCCAGGGAGGGAGGGGGCAUCCACAACCUCUCAGUGCCUUCAGACAGUGAUGCUGUCAUGUUGCAUUUCUCAGAUGUGUGGUGUACCACAAGCAUCACAAUGACUUCAGCUACAAGUGCCACACUUGUGAACCGGCACUCUGGAACAAGAUGUAAAGCUUCAAAGGCAGCAGCUUUUGAGUUACGCACCAGUUAGUGAGUGUUCCUUCAUAUCUAACAUAAUACACACGUUGGUAGUUCCUCCCCUCCAUGCUCAUUCCCAUCCUUUCAAAACAGACAAACUGAGCAGAGGUGAAAGGUGGGGGACAAAUGUCAAGCUCUUUAAUUUACCCCUCUGGGCAGGUCUGUGCAAAGCAGUGCAUAUAUGGUGCCGUGGGAAUUCAACUGUUGUUAAUGCUUCCUGUCCAGAAAAUGAGCUUUGGGUUGGAGUGAUGAGAAUGGCAAGGUAAUUUUUCACUGACCAAAUGGUUUACUUUAUAUAAAUGCAUGACAGCAGAGAUGAGUUUAAUCAGUAAAACAGCAGGAAAUUUGUUCUAGUUUAUAAGCAACCCAGCUGGGCAUGCAGGGAGGUACAUUAAUCUGUAGCACACUUUGUAUCUGUCACUAUUCAUGUCUGCAUGUUUAUAACAUAGUACAUUAGUUAGGUUCUCACUAGAUGGCUGGAAGAUGCUGGCUGUGCCAGUCCUUUGGUAGCAGUUUCCUUUCUGUAGUACAUGGUUCUCAAGGAGCUGAAGGUAAACAUCUGUUAUAAGGUAAUGAAGAAAAUCAAAUACUGCAGAUUAAAAUGAACUUCACAGUCUUGAUAUCUUAGUUGGAAUUAUAUAUAUCUUCAAAUUGAAAGGCAUUAGCCCGUCAAGUUGCAAAGGCAGUUAUCUAGACUACCUAGAGCUAAGCUCCGUGAGGUACCUUAACUGAUACAACUCACUGAAGCCAAAAUGGGUGGCUCCACAUUUGGCCAUUCAUUCCCUUGUGCCAGGUCAGGCUUUGUCUGAUGACAUGGUGAGCAAAUUCAGAUCACUAAACUGGGAAACAACAAACAACAGCAAAAAGCCCUACAGAUUUAUUGUGAGUUACUGGGUUAUUUCGUGCAGAUUUAGUGAGCUAGGUCAGCUAGGUUUGACAAACAAGGGAAAGAAUAAGAUCCUGCAGCCUAAAUCAGACCCGCCUUUUGAUUACAGGGAUCUACAAGAUGCGCUCAGAAAUAUCUAUCAUACAACCUCACCCUCAACAUGCCAGAUUCUAAACACCUUCAUAAAUUCUUUUUCACUUCCAUGAUUUUCACAGGCAUAUAUACUUCUAGCACUUUUCUCAUCUUGGUUGGUAUUUUUAAAAAGUUAGACUGAUUUUGCUUUGUAGUUUCUGUUUGUUCUGUGAAUUUCAGUCUGGUUUGAAUGAUUCUUUGCAUAUUGUUGUUGUUUACGCUGGUGGCAUGCUGUGGGAAUACCCCCCAUGCUAACAGAAGGUCUGGUGUCUAUGUACAGGGCUUAUAACCUGAGAGGAAGACAAGGAGAAGAGUGUCAGGCUCUCUAAGAGAGAAAAGUAUUUUAACUGAGAUGUAAUGUUUUGUAGAUGAACAUGAUGACAGUGUAAUCUCUUUGCAUAGAAAUGGCAAUGCUGAUUUAUUGUAUCCUUAAUAUAACUGCUAACAUCCUUCACAACUGAGGUUCCCACCAAAAGGGAAAUAGGAAUAUUUUUUGAAAUCUUCAUUUUUUCAGUUGUCUCAAUGUAGAAAAUUGUCUAACAUGUAAAGAUUAUAUUUCCUUACUGUAGUCAUAAGAAGCAUGUUUCCAGUGUUGUUAAUUAGCUGACUCUUAAUUAGAGAGUGGAAGAUUUCUUUUCAUGCUGUUCAGCACAGUAUUUUUUUUUCCCUCCAAAUAGACUUAUGCCAUGAGUUUCCAUGAACUCUUUCAAUAUACCUGCUGCUUCCAGUAUAGUUUUUCCAUGGGAGGAUCAAACCUUGAGAAUAACACUCCCAGUAAUAGGUGCUGCACAUCAUAGUAGCAGCUUUAUUGUGUACCAGCAAACUUCACAGUGUAGAGACAGUGUCUGCAAGGACUGGGCCUGGAUGUUGGCAAUAAUUACAGUGAGAUUGUCUUAAAAUGAACAUUUCCUCCUUCUCCUUGGGCAUUAUACAAUCUUCAGAAGUUGCUUUCUCAUAUAGCAGAUUCUUGCCUAGUCAUCUGCUGAAUUUAUGCCUUUUCCAGGAAAUUCAUGCAUUCCAGGUUAGUCCUCCUCUGAAGAUUCUCAGGAAAAAAGGUAUAUUGGCAAGAAAAGAAAUUAAACUAAUAUAGGUACUGGGUCAAAGAAACAUGAGAACAAUGGGAUACUUACUAGCAAAUCGUUAAGGGCGGAGAAAAAAAAAACAACAAAACCCCAAUGGGAUGCUUCUUUCCCAGCUGCACUGUCUGGUUUUCCCCACUCCUUCCAGCAACAGUUUGGGGAUUUCAUGAUCAGUUUUACAUCCAAGCAAACACAUUUAACAAUUUUUCAUGAGCUAAUAGACUGUGCAUUCAUGUAGUAGUUCUGUUGGGGUUUUUUAACCAAUUUAUACUGUUGGCCUUCAAAGCAUCCUGUGGCAGCGAGUUCUGUAGUUUAAUUACAUGUAUGAAAAAGCAUUUGCUUUUGUUUUGAGGCUGAUCGUUCUGGUUGGGUGCUCACAAGAGAAGUAGUGAGUAAUUGUUUCCUUUUCAUAGUUAGUGAGUUUGAAUGUAAGCAUGUUUUUAAGCAUGCUCUGAAAUAGUUGGCUGAAUUAAAUCCUUAGAAUUUUCGUCAUCUCCUGCUGUAAUAUCUUGAAGACAAGACUGCUAAAGGAACUGGUGUGAUUCCAUACAGCUUUCAGUUACAAUGAUUUUAAUAAUGUUUCAUGUUGAUGUUCUUAAUUUGUUAGUAAAAAUUUCACUUCCCUUGAUCCUGACACUACGAUGUGAUUCAUCAACUACUAGAAAUAAUUAUGACAGAUCCUUGAUAACAAGCAGUGUAGUAAAAGAUGACAAUAUGGUUACUGUGUGUACAGUUGUGAUGGUGUUUCCCAAGUAAGUUCUGACCAGCCCCAUAUGCUUUCAUAGUACACAGAUUCAGAAGCAGAGGUACAGAGAGGGUAAGCGACAUGGUAAGGCACCAGCUGGAAAUCAGUGACACACUCUGACUUAAAAUAGGAGUCCUUUCUUCCUUCUGAUUGUUACAUUACAUGAACUUUUAUAAAGCUUCCCUUUUAAUUUGGAAAAUGAUAUAAGAUUUCUGGAAUCCAAUCUAUCAAAACAGUUACAUUUAUCCCUAGCUUUUGUCUAAUUUUAAACACAAGAGUCAAAGGUAUGGAGGAAGUGGUGUUUUCAUUUAUGAAUAAAUUACUUAUUAAAAAAAAAAAAGAUAGAUUUAUCCACCCAAGCAUUUUGUCAGAAUCCUUGAAAGCCUAAGGAUUUCAUGCUUUGAAAACCAGUUAUUAAACAAAAUAAACUGCACAGAGGAAGGAGAGAAACGUAAGGUUUUCCAAAGUUCAAAAAGAAUAAAAAGAAGUACAAAGAUCUUGUUCUCAGUACCAAACUCCUGCACCAGUAUUGAGAAUUAAUUCACAUCAGUCUGGGGGCAGAAGGAUCCGAUUGUUUUUGUUUUAGAAUUCAUUUUUCAUUAAAAUGAAAUAUGCCAUACAUAACAUUUCUGACCAGAUUAUAUUUUAUUAUUUCUAUUUUUAACAUAUGUUGCAGGAGUACGUUAUAUUUAUUGUCUUUAGAGCAUGCAGAAAUCAGAAGUAUUUUUACUAUACACUCAUGCAGAUGUUCUAUUCUGCAGAACAGGAGAGGUCCUGCAGAUAUCCUGUUUAAUUAGAAAAACAAAGGCCAAGCUUACUCUGCAGAAAAGACCUCCCAUAUCAGAGAUCCCAAGUUUGGUUCCAAGCAAGCUGCUGAUUCUACAUUGGGCAGCAUAGUAUUGUGCGGAGAUACUAAGCACAGUUUGUGUCCUGGCAGUGCUCUAAGUGCUAGUUAAUUAGCCAUAUACCUUCGUGUUUUCAUGCAGCUAAACUUCUUUCAGUUCUGCCACUAAGUUUUAAUGCCUGCUUGAGGAUUUUCACAGGGUGCUCAUAAUGUGACAUAUACAUGCCCAAAGGGUCUGCAGUGAACCUGGUAAUAAGUGAUACUGUGGGAAGAGAAAAAAUAAAUAAUAAUUCUGGUAAAUGUACCAGAUACCAUUGCCUUAAGUACAGGAAAUGCAUUUAUACCCUGGAGUAUACAGACAGCCAUGUCUUUAUUCAGAGCAAAGUAGUAUGGAAAACAGAUAGGGUGAAAAAGAAGGUUUUGUGUGUGAUGUGUAUGAUCUGCUUCUUUGAUUUGUGGGCUUGUGAAGAACAACACAAUGAAAUUCAUGCUUUGCUUUCACAAGAAAAAUAACAUGCGAAACAAUUACACUUGGUGCAACAGCCCUGACAAAAGUAUGGCUGAUUGCUUGUCUAAAGCAAAUAAAUUUUAGCUGCCUAGCAGAUGCCCCAAUUUUGGACACAGGAUUUAUUUCAGCAAACCAACACAUGUUAAAAGAAAAUGCACAUGUUAUGCACUGAAAGUCAAAUAUAGCAGUAGAAUUCAAGAAACACAUCUUUUCCUGGUCCUUACUUGGUGCCAUUGUGCAGUUGUUACAGAUCUGUUGCAUGCUGCCAGAUGUUUCAGUGAUGAAGGAGAUUGCAAACAGUGUCCAAGUGUUGUCUUUAAAACCAUCCAGGCUGCAAGGGGCAGUAGCAAAAAACUAAAAGUUGCCUAUGCAGAAGUUGAAUUGGCAGCUUGUAAGGAGCCCAAAAACUGCUUCUGUUUUACACAUCCUAGCUUUGUAGCAGUUGUCAGUUUGCAGCAGAGUGUCUGGAAUGAAUAGGUGUUGGUGUAGAGAACCUUAUUCUGUCAGUGACCAAAUGCAGCAGAAUGUGCUAUCCUACUCAUCUCUGUAGCUCAGAUCAAUCGGUCCAGAAUAUCUAAAUCUGCCUAACGCUUGGCAGUUGUGUGUUUCUGAAGCCAUUGCUGUAGAGCUGCAUGCUAGAGAAGAAAAUCUAUGAGCAGCCUUCAACUUCAUAUGGAUUUGUGUUCAAUAUGCUGCUGGUUGUGCAGCCUCUGUUAGAAACUGUUGUUCCUUCUUAUAAACAGCUAAAGUGAAACUGUAAUCAACAAAGUAAAAUUUUUGCAAAAAAGCCUCUGGGGAAUUCUGUCUCUGGUUAAGCCUGCUGUUGGCUGCAGAGGAAUAGUGUGCGGAUGAUUCCUAACUUGUUAACUUCAGCCGCGAACUGUCAAGUAUCACUCUGGCAGAGAGCUGUAAUAGUACAAGCCCAAUUGUUUGCUAAGCCUAUUGUCCCCCUAGACCUAUGAAUGUUAAAAUAGCUUCUAAUGAAACUUUAGCUUCUGGCUGGCACUUUGCCUGCUAUCCAGCUGUAACAGUUAUGCCAUCUGCGUGCCAGUUUUCAAUUCUACUUGAUUAACAAUUCAUACAGACCACGGGAUGGCUGAAAUGGAUGUUAAGCAUGUUGACAUGCAGAGGAUUACUUCUUCAAACAUUUUUAUUGUCGGCACCUGUAAGCUGCUGUGUUGAUAAGCACUGUUACAACACCAGUGAUUAGCUGAGAGAAGUAUGGCAAUCAAAGAACAUCAUGAGGUCUUAGACAUAUUUCAAAACAGUGCUCCCUAAAAUUGAUCUGUAAAUUUGAAAUAUAAGGGCCAUAUUACCUUCAUGAUGAAAAGAAGCUAUAAGCUCCAAACAACCUGCAGUGAUCUUAAUGCUUGAAACUGUUGUCUGAAUGCUGAAAUAAGCGUGUUGUGAUAUAGUGAAUUAACUGUUACAGUACUUCUACAAAGGGCCUGCAGAUGCUGAUCUCUGCUGUUACCCAAGUGCUGUUGUACAGCAUCUCUAUGGCAGUCUUGUAUCCAGCAUUCUUAGAUAGCUUUCCCAAGCAAAUGGAAAGCUAUUCACUUAGGCAUCAUGGUAUGUAAGGUGAUUUUAACUAAGUCAUAGAAAGAUUUUUUUUCUAAAGAAAUAGAUUAUUCUUGGUGGAAUUCAACAACUUAUUUCACAUCUUCCUUUUGGAUCUGGUAAUUUUAGUCUUGCACUGUGACAUAAAAGUAUGUCCUCUGAGUUUUGGGGAAACGUAUUCAACAUCAAAUCAGAAGUAAUUCCAGGACAGUGACUUUAGUCUAUUUUUUUCAUUUCGUGGUGGGAGGCAAACCUGUAAAUGUAAAUUAUACAGACCCGUGAGUUCUGCCCAAACAGCUUUCCACAGAAAAAACAGCAUGAAGACUAAUGAGGACAUCGAGUUCUUCAACCAGAAGAGCAUUAACUGCCAGGAAUGAGUGAAAGGUUUCAGAGAUAAAAAGGAUAAGGAACUAAUGAGAGGACAGAUUAAUAUGUAUUUGUUAUUCCAGUGGGCUGGCUUUUCUAUGUUUGUUAUUACUGAAUAUCAUCUGUCAUGUUUAAAUAAUAACACGUCAAGUUGCCAGCUUAAAGAUCUCAGUGAUAUGAAAUGCAUAUUUGCUAUUAGGGAGGAUGGGAAAGAACAAGCUGGGAUUGUGGGAUACACGAAGAUAUGUGUUGGAAGGACAGAGGUAGCACCUGAGCUACACACAAUUACCUGAACCGAGACUAAACAAUUUCACAGUUCUUUUGCUGUGUCAGCAGGUUUCAGGCUGUUCAAAUACAAGGCCUAAAGUGAAGGGGGUAAAACAUUAUUUCUACUGCAAUAUGAUGAAUGAUUGUUUAUAAAAUAAUGCUGAAUGCAUCUUUCUUCACUGUCUUUCCUCCCUUAAAAAAAAAAAAAAAGAUAAAGGAAAAAAGAAACCUCUACAUUACAGCAGAGAUUUUUAAAUUAAGUCUUUAACUUCAUGAAGGAACAGAAUGACAGUAAGGACGAGAAAUUAGGUAUAGAGCCUCAGUACCAGUUGGUCCCUACUAGGUUUGGCUGAACGCUGUUGUUAAAAUGAGCUGAUUGCCAUCUGGAAAGUAGGCAGGAGACCAUAUCACAAAAAUCACUACCUUUACUUUCACUGGCUCUGCCAAGUGCCAACAGGGAGCUCAAGGCUCAAGUAAGCAUUUUGCUUAUAUUUGCUCCAAAAACAUCCUGGAAUUGGUAAUAUUAGACUGCGAAUGAGUUUGAUCUUUUUUAUUUUUCUUUUUUUUUCUCCUAUGUGUGUAGUCUUGUAGGGUAAUGAAAAGCUUUGGGCAGACCUGGUAGGCUAGCUGUUAACAAAAAAAGAAUAACAACAUUAUUUAAAGGUGGAGUCAUUUGGUUCUCAGGAUCUUAACAGCAGAAAGGUGAAUAGUCAGUUCAAAUCAGGAAGUUCACUGUCUUUCAGAAGUAAUCUUUUUACCUUUUAGGCUCAUUUAAUGCAUUUUGGCAAUUUAAUGGCUUAUUUUCUUGAAUGAUACGUCCAAUCCAAUUGAGAUUGAGUAAAUGUUGAUGAUCAAGUGCUGUCAUAUAUAAUUUGCUUUUCCCAGAGCCAGAUUCACAUAACCUAUGCCAGUGUUUCUGCUUGGCUCAGAAUCUCUGAAGACUCCUUCCUACUUUCCUAGGUUAUCAGUCAUGAGCAGGAAGCUUGAAUUUAGGCUGCAUGAAUGUGGAUGCAUUUUCCUUCAUGCUGUCCACAUUCAGACUGAUUGUUGUUGUAUGACAGUUUAAGAACCUCCACAAAAGAAAAAACAAAAAAACCCAUGGCUGAAGAUGAACAUUCACAUGUGCAGCCUAGAAGCUUCUACUGAUUCACUUAGAAGAGCUGCUUUUUCUUUUCUAGCUUUCACCUGCUGUGAACUUAGAUAUAUGAUUUCAGGAAAUUCUUAAAAGUCUUCUAGUGCUCUCAGUUGUGGCCAAGACAAGGGAGGUAGCUGUCUGCCCUGGUAUGUCUAUAAUAUCUCCUUUUGUACUAUUGGUAUCAAAGGGUGGACGUCAGAAAAACCAUUGGGGGCUUGGCUAUUAUUUCCAUUCCUGCUCUUCUCCACUAUUUGCUGUCAUCAUAUGUUGCGGUGCAGGUCAGGAACACAAAUCUUUUAAGGAUCUGUAGGAUAACUGUUCUGCUAGAAGAGAAUGUCCAACAAAACUGCAAAGCUAUACUCUGGUACAGCUUAUAAUCUCAUAGAUGUGGCAGGAGAUGCUACAAUGAUAGUGUAUAUAUCUAUAUAUAGCUCAGAGCACUGGCAAAUGGGCUGCUUAACAAGGAUGGAGUUACGUCUUUUGAAGGCACUGUCCAGGACAGUGGAUAUUUCGAGAACUUUUUUCUCACCUUGCAUUCAGCAGAACUGAGUCUGAUAUCAUUUGAUAUAGUGCAGUUCAGAAGGAAAUCCACUGUAUUUAGUGCCAUUUCUGUGUCAACAUAAAGUUAUGCCUGGGCCCUUUCACCAGGAGCAGAUUACUUCCUUUUGGAUCUAUUGAUCCACACUUCUUUUCAGUUGAGCAUUUUGGCAUAACCUGAUAGAAGUCUUUCCCCCCAUAACAUUACUUGCCUUUUACUGUCACCUUACUCUUUAGCAUUCUUUUCUCUUUCACACUAUCAUGCUUUAAAGUGAAAUGGACUGGAUGUUUUUUUGCAAGACUAUUUUUUUAAGUACCAGAUGAAUGUAGUUGAAUUCAAUUAAGUGACUCCCACAGAGACAUAACGGAGUGGAGCACAAGCACAGCAAUGUGUAAGUACAAGCAGUUUUAAACAAACUACUUUUCUUUAUCUAGCCUAAAACUAUCUGAACCUCUAAAAAGAAGGAUGUGGGAAAACAUCUUACCAAAAGUAGUUGUUUUUUGGUUCUUUUGUUUGCUUGCUUUGUUGUUGUGUUUGUUUUUGUCUCUGUUACUUGAUGCUUGUUUAUUACUAACAUAGAAUUAAAGUAGUUUUGGUAGCUGUCAGUUAAAGGAAACCUCCCAAUUUUAAAAUGAAAAACAGUGCAAAAUACUGGGAAACUCGCAUUUGCUCAGCUGAAAAGGAAUUAGAGUGAAAGGAGCUGUGCAGAAAAAGACGUCAGAGAUAUUUUAGGACCCUUAGGUCAUGAGUUAGGUCAUGAGCUCCUUAGCAUUUGCUGUGGCAUCUGAAUAGACCCUUGGAUUACAGAUCAGGGCAGGUGCAGAGAACUGUACUAUAAAUACUUUUACCCUUAAGGAGUUCACAGAUUUCAUAGAGUUGCCUUGCUGAAUGACCAGCUGAACAGAAACAUGCUAGUUCUGAAGGGGAAGAGUAUCUAAACCAUUUCGGAAAAUAAAUCUCUAAAUUCUUGUAACAGGUCAUCUCCCAGUUCUUUAAUUUCCAAAGCCAAAGCGCUCUUCACAGUUACCUUUGAAAUACUAUGGGUAGCUUUUAGAAGGUUACAGCAUGCAUUUUUCAAGUGUGAGUGGCAUGUUCAGGGGUAUUUCUGUACUCAUUUGCUGUCCACUGGGCGUUGCAGAGAACUGACCAGCAAGAUUCCUCCCUUCUAUUUUAAGCCUUUCUGUUGCCUUAUGGCUAAGUAUAUAUGACCAGUUUCUUCAAGGGAAGCUUUGCCAUUUCUACACUUGUAGAAAUAAUGUCCCUUGGCUCCCUUGGUGCAAAGUUCUUUGAGAUCCUUGCAGGAUUAAUAUACACUACUAGUGGUAGCAAAACCUACUUACUGAUUCAGUACCUAUUUUUUAAUUUAUUUUCCAGGUAAAUACAGAUGUUUCCUAUUUCUCAUUUUUUACUGAUAAGCCAUAGUCCUCUUUCUCCCUUUGUCCAAAAUAAACCUUCAAUUUUUAGACAGGCUGCAAAGGGCUCGGAAACCUUUUCAAAAUGUUUGUAUUUUAUUUACAUUUGUCUCCCUCUGGGGGAACACUACUUCUCAAACGACACGUGUAGUCUUAUGUGUUCAUUCUGACUGACCUAAUUCGAAUCCUUCAUCAUCUUUUAAGAGGCAUGUUUGCACAGAACUGGAAGAACCAGUUGCAGCACAAAGUUAGGUGUCACUUCCUGCAUAUUCCAACAAAAAAAAAAAAAAAAAAGAGGCAACUCCAACUUUGUUAGAAAGAGUCUGUUUGAAGGAUUUUUCCAAGCGAGUCCACCUGCCCUUUCGUAUGCCAUCAGCAUCUCUGUCGAGAAAUGCCUUCAGCUGGUCCAACUAUGAACAGAAAAGCAGAUUCUUCUCAAGACAAAUUCUGCCUGUAUCAAGAGAUCUAUGGCAUGGCAGGAAAUUCAUGAUACAAGCAGAUUCUAGCCUUAUCCUAGGAAACCAAAUCAUACUGUUGGGAAGCCUGAAGUGCCACAGUGCUUACUUACAGGAGAAGUAGUGAAAUUGAAUAUAUAUAUAGUGUAUAUAUAUGGAUGUAUGCAUAUAUGGCUUGUGAAUAUGUCUUGCCAGCUCUUUGCGUUGGCUGGCUUGGUGUUAUGAAGAGCCUGAUUUAAAUAACAGAACUCAAAACCAGUGUAGGAGGUGCAGAACUGAGUAAAACUGCUGCUGGGGUGUUUGUGCACCAUUUGUCAACGAGAGAGAUGAGGCAGCUCCUGCAGUGCUGGGGUGGCCAUGGGGGAAGUAAUGUUUUGUCAGAGACACGAGGUUUGUGCUGACUUCUUUUUCAGUAUACAAAAUUAAUUUGUAUACCGUCUUUCUUCACGUCCCAAUUAAAAAGGGAGUGACUAUACAAGCCUCUUGAUUUCCAAACCUAUCUUUUUUUGCCAGCUGGAAAUUUCCAAGCAAUUCAAAUUGUUAAUUAAAGGUAAAGCAGGCACGCUUAUGUUUCUAUACUUUUUGUAUUCUCUACCACAGAAAAACAACAACAAAAACAUCAGCCAAUUUAGCCCUGUGGAUGCAGAGUUGUCUUUGACUUAAACAAAGCUUAUUUUUGGCAUUUUCAUGCAUGUGGGGCCUCAGGAUUUUGUUUUGCUGUGGCAGUGGCAUCUUCCAGGCGCCUCUUUAAGAAACGCUCAGUUCCUUUCCUCUCCCCCAUAUCAUACUUUCCCAUGUAUCCCAGAGGUUCCCAUGUCAUCGUUAACAUUCUUGUAGAAAAAUGGCUCUGCACAGGAAUUCUUUAAGAGCCUAUCAGCACCACUCCCAAAUUAGCCAGACAGGACACUGUUUGUUUAAUUUCACAAUAUGUGCUUACCCAAAGGCAAAGAGCUGCCUCACUGGAUUCCCAGCCACAAUACACUUCUACAGGAAUUUUUUGUAGCAGUGGAGUAAGUUCUCCUAAACUACGUACAAAACAUUGAUGUAUUUAACAAUACAGUCAAGUUGUUGAACAAUAUGUAACUAAAUGCCUCUUAAAUAUUCACAGCACUUAAAAAGGCCCCUGUCUGCUAACUGGCCAUACAGCAAAAGCAAGAUAAGCGACAAGAGCAAAACUAUGCUUAAGAAUUUGCUGCAAAUAAGUCUGCAGGCUUUGUCAGUACUUUGUCUGGCAUUUUUACUCAGCCUGUGCACUGCUGUUAGUAUUUAGGCAGGUUUAACCAGUAUUUGUUUUUUAAACUGAUAAGGAUGAAUAAGGACUGUGCAGAAAAGUGAGAAUUUCACCCUCUAGAAAGAUCUUACUUGCUAUUUUUCUGUCAUUACUGUUACUUUACUGUGAGGAGUCUUUUUUAAGGGAAUACAGGAAGAAACCAUCUUAGGGAUGGGAAUAGGAAAGCUUCUCCUUUGGCACUGGCAACACACGUGUCCUGCAGACUGGCUGUGAGCUUGUGUGAAUGCUGUGUGGGUCAGCGCUGCAGGCACACACUGGCCGUUCUCAGGGGCAGAGGAAGAUGACCUCCGGGCAGAGCCCAGGGGACUUUGCUAUCCGGUCGCACGGAGCCGGAGCUCUGUGCCGUAACUCGCUGGGCUGCGCAGGAGUUGCCCCACGGCCUGCUUUGCCGACCGCUGCCCCUCUUUGCCCUGCAAGCACAGCAAGCCACAAGCCCUCCCGCCGCGGUGACAUCGGCUCAGCAGAGCCAGUGACGGCACCGGGGAGGAAUUUUCUGGUGCAAGUUGUGAGCUCAGACAAAGAGGCUGCUUAAUUUUCUCUUUGUGCAACCAAAUCCUCGGGGCUCGUGCACGUCCGUGUGCUUCCUGCGCUGUAUAAAGGAGCGUGCGUGGUGGUGGCGGAGCGUGUUGCAUCUUGCUCAGUGUGCUAAGGAGACAGACAUGUGCCACAAGCGAAAAUCGGUUUCUACUUAAUUACAUGGUUUGUUAAUUGUUCUCCAGAUUGCUCGUCUCUCUUCGCUGCCUCGGUUUCUCGCUGGCGUUGCAGGCGGAAGGUGCGAGGCAGGCAACAGCCGGUCCGUGUGCCGCCUUUCCCCGGGCUCCGCACCUCGCGGCUCCGAGCGCCCCGGGGGGCAGCUGAGCCCCCGCUCCCCUCCCUUUAACCCGACUGCGGUCCAGUAGAGGAGCGUGG